This 869-nucleotide ribosomal RNA is filed under the name uncultured bacterium. RNAcentral describes it as "bacterial SSU rRNA". It matches the Rfam family "Bacterial small subunit ribosomal RNA", at positions 28 to 893 of the family's 1533-position model. The record is from RNAcentral.
AGUGAACGCUGGCGGCAGGCCUAACACAUGCAAGUCGAACGGCAGCACAGAGGAGCUUGCUCCUUGGGUGACGAGUGGCGGACGGGUGAGGAAUACGUCGGAAUCUGCCUAUUUGUGGGGGAUAACGUAGGGAAACUUACGCUAAUACCGCAUACGACCUACGGGUGAAAGCGGAGGACCUUCGGGCUUCGCGCAGAUAGAUGAGCCGACGUCGGAUUAGCUAGUUGGCGGGGUAAAGGCCCACCAAGGCGACGAUCCGUAGCUGGUCUGAGAGGAUGAUCAGCCACACUGGAACUGAGACACGGUCCAGACUCCUACGGGAGGCAGCAGUGGGGAAUAUUGGACAAUGGGCGCAAGCCUGAUCCAGCCAUGCCGCGUGUGUGAAGAAGGCCUUCGGGUCGUAAAGCACUUUUGUCCGGAAAGAAAAGCUUCGGGUUAAUACCCCGGGGUCCUGACGGUACCGGAAGAAUAAGCACCGGCUAACUUCGUGCCAGCAGCCGCGGUAAUACGAAGGGUGCAAGCGUUACUCGGAAUUACUGGGCGUAAAGCGUGCGUAGGUGGUUUGUUAAGUCUGAUGUGAAAGCCCUGGGCUCAACCUGGGAAUUGCAUUGGAUACUGGCAGGCUAGAGUGCGGUAGAGGAUGGCGGAAUUCCCGGUGUAGCAGUGAAAUGCGUAGAGAUCGGGAGGAACAUCUGUGGCGAAGCGGCCAUCUGGACCAGCACUGACACUGAGCACGAAAGCGUGGGGAGCAACAGGAUUAGAUACCCUGGUAGUCCACGCCCUAACGAUGCGAACUGGAUGUUGGGAGCAUUAGCUCUCAGUAUCGAAGCUAACGCGUUAAGUUCGCCGCUGGGGAGUACGGUCGCAGA